CGCAGACGUGGCUCAGAUCCUGUGUGGCUGUGGCUCUGGCCUAGGCAGCAGCUGUAGCUGUGAUUGGACCCCUAGCCUGGGAACCUCCUAUAUGCUUGGGUGCGGCCCUAAAAAAAAAAAAAAAGCAUACUGUAUUUUCACUUUUAAUCGUUUUCUUCUAAAUAAAUAAUUAUAAAUCAGAAAUACAAUAAUUAAGUCAAUAAGUUCAAAAGCUUUUAACCUAGACCUGCAGAAUUUUUUAGGUAACCGAAAUGCCGUGGACGAGGUAGCAGUUCUCUUCAGUUGGAGGAGUGGAACUACAGAGAAGCUGCAUCGCUUCCAGGAUUUGGUUUUCUCAUUCCUCUGGGUGGGAUUUCUCCUGGCGGACUCCUGGCCCUGAGUUCUUCCAGCUUUUGUCUGCCUCCCCUUUGUGUGUUUCUCUAGCUUUUGUUUUUGAAAGGUGUUUUGCAGGCUGCCCUGUAUUCCUUGAGCACUGCAGUCGAGUCCUUCCGUGAAUUCUCACUGGCCCUGUUUCCAUCGAGAAUCUGCUGUCGUCCUGGUCCUGAAGCCUUUGUCUGGAAAGCGGCUUUUUUCUCUGAAGGCUUUUGACAGUCGAGGUUAUUUGGUGUAUGGUGUAGCGUGGGAAGUAGUUUUUACUCAUGUUUCUUGUGCUUGGGUUUGUUGAGCUUUAUGUAUGGAUCUGUGGAUUUAGUUCAUCAGAGUUGGAAUUUUUUCCAAUACUUUUCUGUCCCUCCCUUUUUCAUUUGUAAAUUGCAUUUAAAUUUAUAUGGGAUUGUUUAGAGUAUCAGCCAGCACAGUGGUACCCUGUUCAUUUUUUUCUUUUUCUUCUUUUUUGUUUUUAUGGCUGUGUCUGUGGUGUAUGGACGUUUCCAGGCCAGGGAUUGAAUCUGAGCUGCAGCUGUGGCAAUGCUGGAUCCUCUAACCUGCUGUGCUGGGCUUGCGAUCGAAGCUGCACCUAUGCAGGGACCUAAGCUGCUGCAGUGGGCUUCUUAACUGACAGUGGCAACUCCAGCUGUUCCUUUUUUCUUCCUGUUUUCUCUGCUUCUUAUCUUGGGCGCUUUCCGUUGCCGGGACUCUCUCCGCUCGCUCACCACUCUUUUCUUUGGUGGUGUCUGCCACACCCGACGGUUUUUGUCUCAGACGGUUUUUCUUUUUUGCCUUUUGUCUUCUUUAGGGCCGCACCCCCUGGGAACCUCCAUAUGCCACAGGUGCAGAUCUAAAAAGACAGAAAAGAAAAAGAAAAAAAGGCAGAGAACUCUUUUCUGUUGGCAUCAGUGCCUUCCCUAGGUCACCUUGCAGCAGCAGUGUCACGGAGAGCAGGUCACCUGUGCUGGUGGGCUCUUGUUCCAAGGGGGUGUCUCUGAGGCUUUGCCGGGGUGGGGGUGGGGUCUUUGUGUGGGAGUGGCUUGUUACCCCGGGGGAGGCCUGACCUCCAGCUUGACCUGAGUUGAAGCGCAGUGUGUCUCGGGGUGGUCCCCGACACACCUGAGAUUGUUUUAGUGCCUUCCCGCAGUGCCUCUUCAAGGAAACUUGGCUGUUGCAUUACCCCUUGUGCUGGCAGUAAGGACAUUUCUGUCACCCGCAGAAGGUCCCUAGCAUACAACCGCCUAUUCAUUUUACCCUCCCAUUUUUGGCCAUACCUGUGGCACAUGGAUGUUCCUGCGCCUGGGAUCGAACUGGAGCUGCAGCUGAGGGCUGUGCCACAGCCAUGGCACUGCUGGAUCCUUAACCCACUGAGCGAGGCCAGCAGUUGAACCCAUAUCUUCACAGAGAAAAUGUCGGUCCCUAACCCCCUGAACCACAGUGGGAACUCCAGGAACUCCCAAGUUUUUUAAAAAUGUAUGUUGUCCAAGUAUAGCUGAUUUGCAGUGCUGUGUCGAUAAGAGUUUUGUCAUAGGUUGGUUUGGGAUACAUGCACUCUCUUUGUGGUUCACAUUAUUCCUCUGGUGAGAUAUUUUUAAAACUCGGGGUUUGGCUGUUUUACAGUGAGCAGUUCUCCGGCUUUAACCUGUUUAUAGUGUCGUGUAGCCCUCCCCUCUUCCUGGGCUCGGCUGCCCCCUGGCAUGUGGAGUUCCCGGACCAGGGGUCAGAUCAGGGAGGCAGUUGCGACCUGUGCCGCAGCCACAGCAGUGGCAGACCCUUCACCCCUGUGCGGGCUGGGGAUCUCCGCUGAGCCCCAGUGCUCCGGCGAGGCCCCUGAUCCCCUUGGGCCCCAGCGGGACCCCCAGGUUCUAGAUGCUUCGUGCCCUGAGAGGAACCCUGUCCCGUCAGACAGCGUCUCCGUGUGCCCUGCAGCCCUUCCGCCGCGCGCGCCUGCUGCGGACACGUCACAUCGAGGGGCCCCUUCCGCAGGACGUUUUCCAGGCUCGUCCUGAGGCUCUUUUUCGGGUGUGAGGAGGAUUUGUCUGUCGCAUGUACACGUCUUGUUGCCCUUCGUCUGUGAUGGCCGUGGCUGCUCCCUGCUGCUGGCUGUCGUCAGCAGUGCUGCUGCGUGCCCGGCCUGUUUGGCACCGUGCAGGUGUGUGCCUCGGGGUGGGAUGCUGGCUCAUGUGACAUCUCUGCCGUUAACUUUUGGAGGAACUGCCAAACUCUGCCAUAGCUGUUGCUCCACUUUGUGUCCCUGCCCUGUGGCCAGGAGCACAGCCACGGUCCGAGUGGAUCGCGGGCGCGCUGCCGUCCUCUGCCACCACCUGCCCGAGGGUGUGGGCUCUGGUCCUCGGGGGCUGCGGUGGCGAGCAGUCAGCCCUGCCGCCCCGCCCGUGCUCCCUUGGCGCCUGCAGCCGGGUGCUCUCGGGCACGGUCCGGCAUUCAAAGGUUGGUUCCGACGGCUCUCGCCAGCUUGUCUGUUGCUUUCUGUGGAGGGACGGGCUUGUGGAGUUCCCGUUCUGCCGCCUUGGGGCCGUCAUCGCCCGGCCGGGUGCUCUGACGUGUGUCUGGGCGGCCACGUCGGGGCCUGUCCUCGCUGAGCAGGCCCGGCUGCGGGCUCCCGGCGCCGGUCGCUGCUGUGGCGGCGGCCUCGCCGAGCGCCUUUCUGGAGAGGCUGGGUUUCGGAGGCGCAGAGCUUCUGGGCCAGGGGGGCUCUGGGAGCGGCCCCCCCCCACCUGCUGGCAGGUCUGGGCCCCCAGGGCCGGGUUUUCGCUUUGGGGGACGGAGAGUGCUCUGCCUCCAGGCCCCGGGACAGCACCUCCUCUCGGGGUCCCUCCGUGGCCCCCUCUGCACUCUUGACCUCCUGUCGUCGUGGCAGCGCCUGAGGCGCAGGUGGGCUCGUCCGUCCCUCUGCUGCAGAGGGACCGUGCGGAGGCCCCGAGGUGGGCCAGCGCCCAGGGCCCCACAGGUCACGAGGGGCAGGCCGGGUGGUGUUGGGCGGGGCGCAGCCUGGCUCAGAGCCUCCCUUGUGGGGGUCCCCUCCCCCCCGCCCCGCUCUGCUGUCGCCAGCUGCCUGUGCUCUGAGAGCCACCCCUCUCCGCCCCUCUUCUUGGACAGUAAGGACGUGUGGUCCGCUCCUCUCCAGCACCGAUACCCUGCACCCUGAGUGUCUUCCUGCUCCACUGGGCUGUGGUGGCAGAGUCCCUUUGUGCUGCCAGGAUCUGGUGGUGUCGCCACAUGGCCUGGGUUCACCCCCUGGUCUGGGAACUUGCACAUGUCGCAGGUGUGGCCAAAAACAAACAGAAAGCUUCCUUCAUGACAGGUAAAAUGGCCGUGUCCAUCUCUGUGGUUACUCAGAGCCGGGGUUUUUGUUCACAGCAGGUCUGGAGUGUGGACGCCCAGGCCAAGCAUCCAUACUUCCUUGUGUGGAUGGAGGCUGGAGGACCUGGGGCCAUGGGUGGCCCGUGCCCCCGCCGCCCAGGGUCGGGUCUGCCUGUAUGUGCCCGCCCUGCAGCCCCGGGGAGCCCCGGGCUGUCUCAGAUGAAGGGGUUAAUUACGGGGUCAAGGCUUGGGACCCCUGUCUGAGAGGCGUGUGGAGGGCACGACUGUAAGUUGUGCCCUGAGCUUUAGUCCUGGAUGAUAAGAGCACAGCCACAGGUGCUAACGCAGACGUUUUCUGAAGUUAUCGAGGCGUAACUUGCGUGGCGUAAACUGGCUCAUUUGAAGGGUUUGUUUUAGUGGUUUUUGCUAAGUAGACUCAGAUCCCUCAUUCCUGUCCCUCCCUCCCCCAGCCCCAGGCAGUGGCUGGUCCGCUUUCUGGCUCUCUAGAUUUGCCUUUACAGAUGCUUCACUUUGAAAAUAAAAGCCCUUGAACUCCUUCCUUAAAAGCAGCAGUCGUCGCUCACUUGUCUGUGCAGACGCACCUUACCUUUGCUUGAGCGUCCCCUUGGGUCUGGCACAGAGGGCCCGAGGGUCGGCAUUUUGGGCCUGGGGCCACAGGUGUCUGUCAGAAGGGCCCACCUUAGUCAUGAACCGUGACAGUAGCCCUGGGUAGUGGGUAGGAGAAGGGGGCAGCCUGUUGCAGGACUCUCGACAGAACCAGUGUGGCCCGGUGUCCUUGGAUGGCUGUGGGCCAGAGGGAGCUGCUGCAGAAGCCGGGCUGAGACCUUCCUUGAGUCAUUUCGAUGGCUGGUGUGGCACAUGCUUAGUUUCUGGGGGAGAUAAUCAGAUACAUAAAAUGUGAAGCUAUCUGGAAAGAUAAAGCUGGGAUUUAGGCUGUCCUGACAGUCCCGAGAAAUGAGGAAUUUAGGAGUGCGUGCAUAGUAGUUUAAGAGAUUUUGGGUGUGCUGAUUGCAAGAAAGAUUAGAGUUUUGUAGGAUCAUGAGCAAGCACUCAUCAGCAGAAAUAGGAAAAGGAAUGGUUUUGAGACUUAAAAGUUCUUAAUUUAAAUGUUGAUCAGUUAAUUGACUUGGAAGAACAGCCCCCUCUGGACCAUUCGGUGUGGGUUUGGUCCUGCUGGCCCCUCUGCCCUGUCAGGGGCAGUUGUUGCUGUGGAGGUUGUCCUGGGCGGCUGUGCUCUGUGUCUUACUCUUGCAUCCUGUCUGGGAGUUUUCUGUUUUUAUUUACUUUUUUUGCAAAAUGGAAAAAUUCCCUUCAGAUCCCCCCCCCCCUUUUGCUGCUGCACCUGUGGCAUAUGGAAAUUUCGGGGCUAGAGGUCAAAUCAGAGCUACAGCUGAGACCUACACUACAGCCAUAGCAACCCCAGAUCCAAGGCACAUCUGAGACCCAUGCUGCAGCUUGCAGCAAUGCUGGUCCCGAACCUGCUCAGCCACAGUGGGCUUCCAUCGCGUCUCCAGUGUGUAAAAGUGCCAUGUGGGUUUUUUUGGGCUGUGCCCAUGGCAUGUGGAAGUUCCCAGGCCAGGCAUGAAACUCCUGUGACAGCAGUGAUAGUGCGGGAUCCUUAACCUGCUCAGCCACCAGGGAGCUUCUGAAGUGUUGUGUUCUGGAGGCCCCCGGGGUGCAGCGGAGUGAACCCGACUAACAUCCAUGAAGGCAUGGCUUCCAUCCCUGGCCUCGCUCAGUGGGUUGGGCAUCCGGCAUUGCCAGGAGCGGUGGUGUAGGUUGCAGACCUGGCUCAGCUCUGGCGUUGCUGUGACUCUGGCGUAGGCCGGCAGCUGCAGUUUCAGUUGGGCCCCUACUCUGGGAACCUCCAUAUGCUGCAGGUGUGGCCCUGAAAAUCAAAAAAAUAAAAAAAA
Molecule: long non-coding RNA, 5621 nt
Filed under: Sus scrofa (pig)
Lineage: Eukaryota; Metazoa; Chordata; Mammalia; Artiodactyla; Suidae
Description: lncRNA (ENSSSCG00015024281.1)
Source: RNAcentral